Molecule: long non-coding RNA, 2741 nt
Organism: Varanus komodoensis (Komodo dragon)
Lineage: Eukaryota; Metazoa; Chordata; Lepidosauria; Squamata; Varanidae
Exons: 3
Source: RefSeq, a predicted model, not a curated record
CUUAAAUUUGUGUUUCAGGUAGCAAAGGUGUUUGGAACAAAGGCUUAGAGGCCUGUAUUUGCCAUGGGUUACAGGAUGAGGAACAGCAAUUUGAAAAUGUAAGAGUUCUACUAUUCUUCCAGUUAGAGGAGAUAAGAGAGGAGGUAUUCUAAUUCAAACCUAUGUACUCAUCUGAAAUGUUUUAACAGCUUUCAUACUGCUGUUCAGUCGAAAAAUGUUUGCUAAAAAUUGCAACAUUAAAAGCAGGCCUUAUUCAGUACAUACCAAUACUAAGCCUGUCCUCACUAGGCCUUGGAUUUAUGCAUUUAGGACAAGAUGUUUCUGGGUCAGUUUGUCACACUCUCCCUCCCAACACAACACCUUGGCAAUUUGCCUUGAGUUCCCCUCAAGUCCCUGCAAUUGGGCACAGAUGUUGAAAUUCUCCCCAUAUGACAGAUUAAGACAAAGGAGCAAUACACCAGUUUCCCUUGAAAGAAACAGCACUCCUAACUGCGCUAGGGGGUGGGAUUCAAAUUAAGCAGUUAAGAGAGAAUAUUCUCAUCAAGCUGGCAGCUUGUUUGCUUUCACUAAUUUAUGUACACAUGGGAAUAAUACUGGAAAGGAAGAAAUGAACUUCUCUUGGGCUACCUCUUUCCCACAAGCUCAUGAGAACUACAUAUACCAACUUUCCAUUCUUGAAAGUAAGAUGCCUACCAGGCACAAUGCUAACACACUGGCUCAGCAGAGAGGAAUUAAUAGUAAGCCCUCUCUCCUGAAGGAAGAACUGCACAAAAUGUAACACCUCAAGAACCUCAACUUUUAAGAAAACACUGAAUGCUGCAUUUUUCUCUUUGUUAUGCAGAGAACCAUCAAGUAUGUGAAAAUGGUAUCUGGUAUUGCUAGUAAGCAAAAUACUUUUAUUGUGAUGUCUAACACAAAGCCCUCUUCCAGAGAGCAUAAAUCAAUGUUAAAUAGGCAAUACAGAGAUUUGGGGAGAAUGAAAUACAUGAGAUAGAGAAUGAAGCUGAUGAGUAACAAUUUAGGUGAACUAUGGCAGAACCCUACUUGUUUACAUGACCUAAUGAUUUUACUUGACCUAAUGAUUAACUACGCUACUAGUUCCUUAUACCAAAAAUGGCAGCACUGAAGAGAGUUACAAGGAAGGCUAAGAUGCAUUUGUGAAAUCAGGAACCUACUGUGCGAUGGACUCUUAUUAAAGAAGAUAUUUCAAAAGGAGGGUCAGAAUUCAGGGGAAUGCAUGUGUGUGAUCACACUAACACUAAGCACCAAAUUUUGUUCCUAGAAGAGAUCACAGAGAAAGGUUCAACAUGACAUUAUGUUUCCUUUCCUUUCACCAUGUUAUAUCUAUACCAGAGAAACCUCUCCAAGUAAACAGACUUGAGAUUCAUAUGGUUUAAUGAAAGUGAUCCUGAAUUAUUGAUCUUCAGCAAUUUUUCAAUCACCCAGAAUAACUAUUCGAGUUGUGGCUACUCAAGCAGGGAAAAUAAAUCUUUCCCCUUACCAAUUUCUCUCUCCCCAUUGCCCAAAGUUCAUUCAUAGGUAGCAUUCCGUACACACUAUAGUCGGAAAGCUUUGAGUUCAGCAACAGCACUCUGCUUCACAUGUAGAAGAUUCCAUGUUUUAUCCUUAGUAUGCCUAGCAGGGCUAGAAAAGGUCUCAACAGGGUAGGAUGGCACUGAGCUGGAUGGAAAAUUAGCCUGAGCCAGUAAAAAGUAGGGAUGGGGAAGCUACAGCCAGCAGGUUUCCCAUCCGGCCUGCAGCUUCUUUCCCAAACAUCAUCACUUCCUAGAAGGAAAAAGCUCUUUUUUUUCAAUCAGCAGCUAACUGGAGGUAAUUUUUUCCCUGCUGAGCAGUAAGGAGUCUGAUCAGCUGCUGACUGGAGAGAAAAGCUUUUCCUUGCAAGAAAGAUGGGACAUAGUCUGGCAAGGAAACAAUGGAGAGAUUCUGAUUAUAUUGGAAACUUGUGCUACUUAUAUCUGCUUGUCCUAUUUUCUCAUGAGCAUACAUUCUACUCAUGCUUACUUCUAAGUAGACAUGCAGAAGCCCUUUUUCUGCUUACAUUUGAGUAGGUCUAAAAUCAGUAAUCACAUUUUGACCCACCCAUUUGCUUUCAACCACUGCCACAAAUGGAACACAGUCCCCAAUACCUUUCCCAGUUUUGAAUUUGGUCUUUGUGCUGAAAAAUCUUUCCCUACUUCUACUACAAAGGAAAGCCAUUAACUCCUCCAGACACAUGCAGGUUAUCUGAUAAACAGAGUAGAACUAGAGUUUGUUUCUUCUACAAUUACCAACUAGCCUUUAAAAUGUCACUUGACUUCUGGUUGUUUCUGCUAGCCAGUUGUCAGAAUUUAUCUUGAUUGCAAAAGUUAACUCUGAUACAAAAAGUGUUUGGCUUACUAAGAUGUAGGUUUUUUAUUUUAAGAGUUUCUAGCCUUUCAUAGAGAAAAAUAUGGAAAUAUACAGGCAAAUGCUUAUAAAUUAACUGAUUUUCUAAACAUGACUACAUGGGGCUCACUUCUCAAUAAACAUGCAUGGAAUUCAUAACAUAUAGAUGUGCAAUGGAUUUUAACACUUCAUAUGAAGAGUUUUAUCUUCAUUUGUCCGGAUCUGCAAUAUCCUUAUGCAGAUGUGUAAUACCCUACCCAUUUAUAGAAGAGUGUGUGAUGCAUUCAGUUUGUCCUAAGCCAUGAUGGGGGGGGGGACCUCUUGUGCUGGAGGAUGUCAGGAAAAUAUUAAUUUGA